Molecule: unclassified non-coding RNA, 253 nt
Filed under: fungal sp.
Lineage: Eukaryota; Fungi
Description: partial internal transcribed spacer region
Rfam family: Eukaryotic small subunit ribosomal RNA (bases 1-46)
Source: RNAcentral
AAGUCGUAACAAGGUAACCGUAGGUGAACCUGCGGUUGGAUCAUUACAAAAUGAUUGCUUUGCCCUGUUGUUGGACCUUUUCACACUGGUUCACCGGGGCAGAGUUUAAACCACCUGUGCACCGUCAUGUUUUUUGGGCAGCCGGCGAGACUGAAAAGUCAAGCUACUGCCCAGCAUUUUAAACCAACUUAAAUUAGCCUGAGAUUAAUAGUUUAAUAGUAAACAACUUUUGACAACGGAUCUCUUGGCUCUC